CCGCAGUCCGUUAAAUAAUAUGGAAAAAAUACCCAUCCCCAAUUCGUGCGGCCGCGCACCCCACCGAUGGAUCCGCCGCUCCCCCCCGCCGCCGGCACGCCAUCCUCCGCCGCGCCGUCCUCCCCGCACCCUGGCCUGUAUCCUCUCCGCCGCGCCCUCCUCCCCGCGUCGUCCGAGUCCUCCGGGCGCGGUUCGCCGAAGGCGAGGCCCAGGCCGAUGCGCUCCUGGCCCGCGCCGGCCGGUUCGAGCGCACGCCGCCGACCGCGACCAGCUGCUCAUCACGCUCCUCUCCGAUGCGGGAAACGGCCGAGAGGAGGAGGACGCGCGGGAGGCGGGGCAGCGUCCGAUCCGGCCGAGGCUUACGGCGACACGGACGCGGAGGCUCUGGUAGCUGUCGCUGCGCUCCCUCCGUUCACUACCUUCCCGUUUUGUUUGGUGAGAUUCUCUUCAGAAAACAAGAUUUGUAUUGGUGGUAGAUCGACAGCAACUGACAACAUCUUCGUCAUCCGCGGUGGCAGUGCCAUGCCAUCCGUGCGGAAUGCCUUCUGCGGCCGCGCCGCCACCACCGCCACCGCCAUGCAGCCAAUGAUGUCAGCAUGUGGUGAAAAAAGGGCCCAAGUGAAAGGUCGACCAAGCUGUAAAAAUUCAGUGAGAGGAAAUUUUGUGCUCACAGCUCACACCAUGGCGUCCGUUGCCUCUGUUCUUACUUUAUUAUUUUGUUUUUCCCUUCGUCGAUUUUUCACGUUGCCUGACAAGAACAAGAAUUGCAAAGGAGAAGUGAAAAGAAAACACAGAACAAAGGAUGAACGCCGGAGAGCACUACUAUAUAAUUUUCCCCCAAAAUAUGAUGGGCAGUGGUGUGCUUGUUUGCAUUGAUCGCAUGGUGGCCGGCACUUCACCACACAUCGUACGGCGACUGUUUUAUCCAUGAGGUGGAGGAUAAGAGAAGCGCAUCUCUGAAAUUCACAGUUCUGAACCUAAAGAGACACAUCUAGAAAAUGAUUGCACGAGUGGUUCCAGUGUCAUGUACAUCAACAUGGUUGGAGAUUUGGGAUCGGAUGCUGCGCCAAGAGCGAGGGACCGAGGUGCUGAACUAACAGCAGGGGGGAGGGUGAUUCUUCAGGUACCAACAUGGCUGUCGACUAGAGAAUUUAGUUAACCGUUUGCUUUACUUGAAGCUCCAAAUUGUAGUUAUUUUAUUCGUUCACUAAUUUGGUAUAAUCUUAAUCUAGGAGGACUAUGAUUGUAUGAUAUGAGAUCCUGACAUUUAGCAAUAAUAAAAGUCUGACACUAAAUGGUUCUUUUCGGAAGUACAGUUGUAAGAUCUAUGAUUCUAGCUUCGACCUUUAACUGGACAGUACUAAUUGGACAUAUAAUUGAUUAUUUAUGCACAACAAGAUAUUCUGUUUGUUUUAGUUUUUCAAUCAGAUUCAUCUAGCCCUUUGUUGACUUUCUAAUUGUUCCACCCUCUACCUCUGAAACUCAGAAAUCAGAGAGAGGUCAUUGUCAUAUUCCUAUCUCUGACGAAAAUUUGCUAGCGAGGAAGAGGACCAGAAUGUUUUUUCUAUUGUUGGGGAUAUACAUAAUACAUAUAGAUAAAUUUGGACCAUUUAUAACAGAGAUUUCUUGCCAAAAAUAUUAACUCUGUCCAGCAGUGGGCACUGUCAAGGUAAUAACAGGAAUUUGCUGAACCUAAUUGAAAGAAAGAGGGAUGGUAAUCCGAUUGAGAACAUUCUCUAACUAAAAUAGACUUACGAACAAUCAACAAUAUCAAAUAGUUUCAAAUUAACAAAUGUUGUUUGAUUAAAAUACUGAUUUAAGAAUUUGGCGAAUCUAUAAUUCUCUACAUAAUCACUUGGUGCAUUGUUAGACCACUUGGGGACACUACCAUCAAUUUCUUGCAUACUGCAAUAAUGCAAGUUUAAAAAGCCAGUUUCUUGUGUUUCUUAUUAUCUCUGUGUUCAGCUAACUGCCAAGAAUCAUAUAAGGAUGCAUCUAAUGAGGUAGAUUUUGUUUAUGCAUUUUUUAAGUGUAGGGAUGUUGUAUCUGAUUAACAAAACAUUGUUCAACCUUCUACGAGUCCACCUAGGGAGCUGCACAAAUUUGAAACAACUUCCAGAACAUGCAUCCAAGCAUUUUGGUCUGCUACCAGUAAGUUGCCAGAGCAAGAUAGCUGGGAGUCUGGGAUGUCGAGUCGUCGAGCCGUCCAAUGCCAAGUUCGCCAGCGGAAGGAGAACAUCCGUCAAGGCGUCCGUCGCCUGAGGCGGCUACACCAGAGGUCCGUGGGUUACUACUCCUUUGCUCUUGCUGGCGACCGGCCUCCAGUGUAGCACUUGCUUGAGAUCUGAUCUAGAACUGAAUUGUGCCCUGCUUUGCUGUGGUCGUAUGCUCUGUGUCCACCGAUGAGUUUCAGAUACAGAUUAGGACCAAAAUUGGAGUAGGUUCAGUCGCGCAAAUGUUGUAUCACUUUGUCAUGGGUAUUGUGCUGCUGAAUUGCUUGUUGGACUGUUCAAACUAAAGUCGUCCAGUCAGUUUGCUACAAUGUUCAUUUGUUUACUUUGGAAGUUCUGUAGAAUUUGGGCCUGAUCACUUUUGAAUUUGUCUGUGGUUUGAGAUUAAUCUUUCCGAGAUGUUAGAGAGUGGGUCCAAGGAUGGAUCUGCCCAUCAGUGUGCAGAGGAUCUUCUAAUUCCUGCAGCUAAUCUUGAUUCAUG
This 2712-nucleotide ribosomal RNA is filed under the name Triticum aestivum (bread wheat). RNAcentral's name for it is "partial small subunit ribosomal RNA". The record is from RNAcentral. Lineage: Eukaryota; Viridiplantae; Streptophyta; Magnoliopsida; Poales; Poaceae.